GACGAACGCUGGCGGCGUGCUUAACACAUGCAAGUCGAACGGAAAGGCCCUGCUUUUGUGGGGUGCUCGAGUGGCGAACGGGUGAGUAACACGUGAGUAACCUGCUCUUGACUUUGGGAUAACUUCAGGAAACUGGGGCUAAUACCGGAUAGGAGCUCCUGCUGCAUGGUGGGGGUUGGAAAGUUUCGGCGGUUGGGGAUGGACUCGCGGCUUACCAGCUUGUUGGUUGGGUAGUGGCUUACCAAGGCAUUGACGGGUAGCCGGCAUGAGAGGGUGACCGGCCACAAUGGGACUGAGAUACGGACCAGACUCCUACGGGAGGCAACAGUGGGGAGUAUUACACAAUGAGCGGAAGCCUGAUGCAGCAACGCCGCGUGCGGGAUGACGGCCUUCGGGUUGUAAACCGCUUUAGCCUGUGACGAAGCGUGAGUGACGGUAAUGAGUAAAGAAGCACCGGCUAACUACGUG
This 468-nucleotide ribosomal RNA is filed under the name uncultured bacterium. RNAcentral's name for it is "partial 16S ribosomal RNA". It matches the Rfam family "Bacterial small subunit ribosomal RNA", at positions 28 to 507 of the family's 1533-position model. The record is from RNAcentral.